RNAcentral lists this ribosomal RNA (273 nucleotides) under uncultured bacterium. RNAcentral describes it as "partial 16S ribosomal RNA". It matches the Rfam family "Bacterial small subunit ribosomal RNA", at positions 88 to 354 of the family's 1533-position model. The record is from RNAcentral.
CCGGCGACCGGCGCACGGGUGAGUAACACGUAUGCAACCUGGCCGUCACAGGUGGAUAACCGGAAGAAAUUCCGACUAAUACAGCAUAACACUCCUGAGGGACGGGAUCCUUCGGGAGUCAAAGGAGGCAACUCCGGUGACGGAUGGGCAUGCGGCGCAUUAGGUAGUUGGUAGGGUAACGGCCUACCAAGCCGACGAUGCGUAGGGGUUCUGAGAGGAAGGUCCCCCACAUUGGAACUGAGACACGGUCCAAACUCCUACGGAAGGCAGCAG